CGUUAAACUGGAAAAGCAAACUACUAUACGCAUAAUACAAAAGACAAUUUAUCAUCUUUAAAACUAUAAGGCAUAUGAUAUAUGAGAUAGGCAGCACAAGGACAUAUCGGCAAGCCUUAGGUUGGUGUUUACGCGUGUAGGUGUGAAUCGCUAUGGUGAUCUGGUCGGAGAUAGAAAAAAUAUAAAAUAUUUAUUACAUAACAACACUUAAUCUGAUGAUUUCCUAUGCAUUCAAUACCAAGUUCAAUACAUCUGAUUGUAAUAAGCAUAUUGGCCAUACUCUUCAUAUACAUGAAAAUCGUAUCAAUCGUGUAUCACAUAGCACAUUUAAGAGGACUGAUCCUAUAAAGGCAUUUAUUUUUGUUUUCUAUUUAUAACCUCGUUAACUCAUUUAUU
Long non-coding RNA from Sitophilus oryzae (rice weevil), 396 nucleotides. RefSeq lists it as uncharacterized. The record is from RefSeq and is a predicted model, not a curated record. The transcript is spliced from 3 exons. Lineage: Eukaryota; Metazoa; Arthropoda; Insecta; Coleoptera; Curculionidae.